GCCUACGGGAGGCAGCAGUGGGGAAUUUUCCGCAAUGGGCGAAAGCCUGACGGAGCAACGCCGCGUGAGCGAAGAAGGUCUUCGGAUUGUAAAGCUCUGUCUUUAAGGAAGAACAACUUAUAGUGGUAAUGCUAUAAGAAUGACGGUACUUAAGGAGGAAGCCCCGGCUAACUACGUGCCAGCAGCCGCGGUAA
This 194-nucleotide ribosomal RNA is filed under the name uncultured Bacillus sp. RNAcentral's name for it is "partial 16S ribosomal RNA". It matches the Rfam family "Bacterial small subunit ribosomal RNA", at positions 337 to 523 of the family's 1533-position model. Lineage: Bacteria; Bacillati; Bacillota; Bacilli; Caryophanales; Bacillaceae. The record is from RNAcentral.